GACGAACGCUGGCGGCGUGCUUAACACAUGCAAGUCGAGCGGUAAGGCCCUUUCGGGGGUACACGAGCGGCGAACGGGUGAGUAACACGUGGGUGACCUGCCCUCAGCUCUGGGAUAAGCCUGGGAAACUGGGUCUAAUACUGGAUAUGACUCCACGGUGCAUGUCGUGGGGUGGAAAGCCUUGUGCGGCUGAGGAUGGGCCCGCGGCCUAUCAGCUUGUUGGUGGGGUGAGGCCUACCAAGGCGACGACGGGUAGCCGGCCUGAGAGGGCGACCGGCCACACUGGGACUGAGACACGGCCCAGACUCCUACGGGAGGCAGCAGUGGGGAAUCUUGCGCAAUGGGCGAAAGCCUGACGCAGCGACGCCGCGUGAGGGAUGACGGCCUGGUGUAA
Molecule: ribosomal RNA, 394 nt
Filed under: uncultured bacterium
Lineage: Bacteria
Description: bacterial SSU rRNA
Rfam family: Bacterial small subunit ribosomal RNA
Source: RNAcentral